Long non-coding RNA from Gambusia affinis (western mosquitofish), 316 nucleotides. RefSeq lists it as uncharacterized. The record is from RefSeq and is a predicted model, not a curated record. NCBI's taxonomy places the organism in Eukaryota, Metazoa, Chordata, Actinopteri, Cyprinodontiformes, Poeciliidae. The transcript is spliced from 2 exons.
AGGACGAGCAACAUUAACAGAGAGAGAGAGAGAAAGAGAGAGAGAGAGCUACUUCCUGUCACCUGCUUCAGUCUGUUUGGCAGAGCAGGAUGCUGAUGGUUUCCUGUCACCGUGGGAACGGGUGAGAAAAAACCAGCAGCAUCACUAGGUUGGUUCCAACAUGGCGGCGGCGAUAAAAACUUUUGUUACCCUGGUAGUCUUCAUCGUUCUGCUCAGCGUCCAUGGCGUUGUCGUCCUCGUCUUCGUCGUCAAAGUUGUAGUUGGGGUCGUAGGUCAAGUAGCGGAGGCAGAUGGAGAUGAUGGUUGGAACGUGAGG